UGUAAAUGUAAAUAUUUAACCAGGGUAGUAAUAGUUAUGUUCUUGAAACCCAAAGAAUUUGGCGGUAUUUUAGUCCUUUCAGAGGAAUCUGUCCCGUAAUCGACAACCCACGAGAUAAUUUACUUAUUUUUGUUAUUCAGUUUGUAUACCUCCGUCAUAAGAAGAUCUUUUUAGAGGCUUAAUUUUCUUAAUAUAUUAAAUAUAAGAUGUCAGGUCAAGGUGCAAUUUAUAAAUAAGAGGAGAUGGAUUACAAUAAAUUUAUUUAAAUGGAUUAAAUUAUUUAAAUUUUUAUGAAGGUGGAUUUGAUAGUAAUUAUAAUUAUUUGUUAUUAUGAUUUUGGCUCUAAAAUAUGC
This 353-nucleotide ribosomal RNA is filed under the name Burmagomphus sowerbyi. Its description in RNAcentral is "partial 12S ribosomal RNA". The record is from RNAcentral. Lineage: Eukaryota; Metazoa; Arthropoda; Insecta; Odonata; Gomphidae.